RNAcentral lists this ribosomal RNA (158 nucleotides) under Paraconiothyrium fungicola. RNAcentral describes it as "5.8S ribosomal RNA". It matches the Rfam family "5.8S ribosomal RNA". Rfam says of the family: 5.8S ribosomal RNA (5.8S rRNA) is a component of the large subunit of the eukaryotic ribosome. It is transcribed by RNA polymerase I as part of the 45S precursor that also contains 18S and 28S rRNA. The record is from RNAcentral. RNAcentral also lists the same sequence under 16 other names. Lineage: Eukaryota; Fungi; Ascomycota; Dothideomycetes; Pleosporales; Didymosphaeriaceae.
CAACUUUCAACAAUGGAUCUCUUGGCUCUGGCAUCGAUGAAGAACGCAGCGAAAUGCGAUAAGUAGUGUGAAUUGCAGAAUUCAGUGAAUCAUCGAAUCUUUGAACGCACAUUGCGCCCCUCGGUAUUCCGUGGGGCAUGCCUGUUCGAGCGUCAUCU